CUGCUGUGAAAAAAUACCACAGACUGAGUGGCUUAGACAAUGAAAAUUUAUUUUCUCGCAGUUCUGAAGGCUGGAAGUUCAAGAUCAAGGUGCUGGCAGGGCAGUUUUCUGGUGAGGCCUCUCUGCAUGGCUUACAAAUUGCAGCCUUCUCAUUGUGUCCUCACGUGGCCUUCUAACCACAGGACCAGGAACAGAAUUUGCCACCCCAAAAUACGCCUCUUUGACAUACAUGCUGUUUUGAGCUGAUGAUUAUUAAGAAACAGUAGACAGAGGAAAAGCUCUGAAAACCCAGUAGAAGUGACCCUUUUUAAGGGAAAUUUACAUUUGUAGGAGAAAUUGCCAUUUAUAAGAGUGUCUCCCUCUCUGUGCCUGGAAGAGGAGGUCAUUCUAAAUCUCUAGAAACUCUUAUCAGUGGAGAAGGCAGUCGCUUAAAUCUGCAUAACAACUUUACCCUUCUUGGUUACUGUACUUCCCCCCACCCCAACCCCCCCAACCUCCCACAACUGGCCCAUCUUAACAACAGAAUGUUAAAGCUCUUUUUCAGGGGCUUCAAACCAGCCAGGAGCAUGUGCAGAAGAGAAAGUUUUGACCUGCCAAUCGAAACUCAUCCUGCCGGCCCUUGCAUACCAGCCAGCCCUCCCUGAUCCCUUAAACUUUACCCCACACCUUGGGCGGCAAGACAGUUGAGAGCUUGGUCUCCUGUCUCCUUGCCAGUGAACUUCGCAAUAAAGCCUUUCUUUCCUCAAAAGCUGGUGUGUCACGGACCCAGCUUCUGUGUACCUCGGGUGGCACAGGUAACAGCCUCUUCUCCCUGCACUCACACCCAUAGGGUCUCCUUUUCUUAGAAGGACACCAGUCCUACUGGAUUAGCACCUAUCCAUAUGACAUCAUUUAACCUUAAUUAUCUUUAAAGGCCGUAUCUCCAAAUAUAGUCACAUUGGGGUUUAGAGCUUUGCCAUAGGAACUUUGGAGGAGGCACAAUUCAGUCCAUAGUGCUACUCAAAGCAAAACAUUUUAAGCCCCUACACAUGCAUUAGUCUUUCUGAACAUGACCAGGAUCAGCCUCUGCUUUAGCCAUUACUGCAGUCCCAGCCCCAUUCUUCGUCAUAUCCCUCAUGGAAGACAGAUAAUGGGGACACCCGCCUGGAAAUACCUUCUCAAGCGAGGUCUGAGAGGCCUUCUUAAGAACAGGUAGAACUUUUCCACUUGGGUUUGUAGUAAUCAUUUUGAUUACUAAGAUAAAUUUCUUGCUUACGGCUGGGCUCUUGGUUCUGUUCUUCAUGGUUGGGAACCAGAGCAGCUCAUUUCUCAAUCGUGGCAGAUACGUGAAUUUGCUUUAGCCCCUUUUUCAUUUCCUAAAACCCCAGGUCUGGAAUGGAUCACAGUUUGUAUAGGAUGGAUUUAAAUGACUCAUUGAAUUCUACAAACACUCAUUGUGUGCUCGUUGUAUGCCAGAUUCUCUAAAAGGCAGAAGGAAUAUAAAAAUCAGUAAAAUACAGUUUUGAGUCUUGGAUUCACUCUUCAGAUACUGCUCAAAGGGAGGAAGAAAACCUGAAAAUGGGUCCUGAAUGUCACAAGUGAGAUCUCCUUUCAUUCUUCCUGAAACUGGAAAGAGAUACGUAUUAUUAUCCCCACAGUACACCUGGGAGAUGCUCAGAGAUGUGAAACCACUUGCCUGAAGUGACAUGAUUCAUUUGUGAACGGUGGAGCAGGAUUCCAGCGGAGCCCCGUGUGGCUCGGCUGCACCGCCCCUCCCCAGGCUGGGCUGUACUGGCUCACCUUUACCCUUUGCCGACCCUCUGGACUCUCCUGAAAUGAAAUUCAUGGGACAUUCAUGUGGAAUCCCUGAGGUGGAUAAGAUUUUUGCUCAGAAAGACUCACUCUCUCCCCUCUACCUCCGUGGGAGGAGGGUACCUUCUUUCCCACCCCUUGAUUUGGGGCUUACCAAUGUGGCCUGCUUUGGCCAAGUGCGACCAUCGCAGGAAGACCGAAAUGAGGCGUGAAAUGUG
This 2009-nucleotide long non-coding RNA is filed under the name Equus asinus (donkey). RNAcentral's name for it is "lncRNA (ENSEASG00005034654.1)". The record is from RNAcentral. Lineage: Eukaryota; Metazoa; Chordata; Mammalia; Perissodactyla; Equidae.